CGUAUCUCUGGUGUUCCGGUUGUCACGCCAGUGGCAUUGCCGGGUAGCUAAAUAUGGUCAGGAUAACCGCUGAAAGCAUCUAAGCGGGAAACCUGCCUCAAGAUGAGAUCUCCCGGGCCUUCGGGCCCCUAAAGGACCGUAGAAGACUACUACGUUGAUAGGUUGGGUGUGUAAGCGCUGUGAGGCGU
Molecule: ribosomal RNA, 188 nt
Filed under: Gammaproteobacteria bacterium
Lineage: Bacteria; Pseudomonadati; Pseudomonadota; Gammaproteobacteria
Description: partial 23S ribosomal RNA
Rfam family: Bacterial large subunit ribosomal RNA
Source: RNAcentral